UACGAAGGGGGCUAGCGUUGCUCGGAAUCACUGGGCGUAAAGCGCGCGUAGGCGGCCCGGUAAGUCCGCUGUGAAAGUCAAAGGCUCAACCUUUGAAUGUCAGCGGAUACUGCCGGGCUAGAGUCCGGAAGAGGCGAGUGGAACUCCUGGUGUAGCGGUGGAAUGCGCAGAUAUCAGGAGGAACACCGGUGGCGAAGGCGGUGGUCUGGGCCGGCACUGACGCUGAGGAGCGAAAGCGUGGGGAGCAAACAGG
Molecule: ribosomal RNA, 253 nt
Filed under: uncultured bacterium
Lineage: Bacteria
Description: partial 16S ribosomal RNA
Rfam family: Bacterial small subunit ribosomal RNA
Source: RNAcentral